RNAcentral lists this ribosomal RNA (498 nucleotides) under uncultured bacterium. RNAcentral describes it as "partial 16S ribosomal RNA". It matches the Rfam family "Bacterial small subunit ribosomal RNA", at positions 28 to 507 of the family's 1533-position model. The record is from RNAcentral.
GACGAACGCUGGCGGCGUGCCUAAUACAUGCAAGUCGAACGAGAGCGCCCGGUGCUUGCCCUGGUCAAUCUAGUGGCGAACGGGUGAGUAACACGUGGGUAACCUGCCCAUCAGAGGGGGAUAACAUCCGGAAACGGAUGCUAAAACCGCAUAGGUCUUCGAACCGCAUGGUUUGAAGAGGAAAAGAGGCGCAAGCUUCUGCUGAUGGAUGGACCCGCGGUGCAUUAGCUAGUUGGUGAGGUAACGGCUCACCAAGGCCGUGAUGCAUAGCCGACCUGAGAGGGUGAUCGGCCACAUUGGGACUGAGACACGGCCCAAACUCCUACGGGAGGCAGCAGUAGGGAAUCUUCCGCAAAGGACGCAAGUCUGACGGAGCAACGCCGCGUGAGUGAAGAAGGUGUUCGGAUCGUAAAACUCUGUUGUUAGAGAAGAACAAGUGCUAGAGUAACUGUUAGCGCCUUGACGGUAGCUAACCAGAAAGCCACGGCUAACUACGUG